Non-coding RNA from Dipodomys ordii (Ord's kangaroo rat), 308 nucleotides. NCBI's taxonomy places the organism in Eukaryota, Metazoa, Chordata, Mammalia, Rodentia, Heteromyidae. The record is from Rfam.
GGAUGUGAGGGCGAUCUGGUUGCGACAUCUGUCACCCCAUUGAUCGCCAGGGUUGAUUCGGCUGAUCUGGCUGGCUAGGCGGGUGUCCCCUUCCUCCCUCACCGCUCCAUGUGCGUCCCUCCCGAAGCUGCGCGCUCGGUCGAAGAGGACGACCAUCCCCGAUAGAGGAGGACCGGUCUUCGGUCAAGGGUAUACGAGUAGCUGCGCUCCCCUGCUAGAACCUCCAAACAAGCUCUCAAGGUCCAAUAAACCACCAGAAAACCGGAAGUGGCGCUGUAGCUCAAGUGGUAGAGCCCUUGCCUUGAGCU